AGAGUACGAGAGAGGAGAGUAGAAUUCUGGUGUAGCGGUGAAAUGCGUAGAUAUCAGAAGGAAUACCAAUGGCGAAGGCAGCUCUCUGGCUCGUCACUGACGCUGAGGUGCGAAAGCGUGGGUAGCAAACAGGAUUAGAUACCCUGGUAGUCCACGCCGUAAACGAUGAGAACUAGCCGUUGGGCAGAUUUAACUGUUCAGUGGCACAGCUAACGCAUUAAGUUCUCCGCCUGGGGAGUACGGCCGCAAGGCUAAAACUCAAAUGAAUUGACGGGGGCCCGCACAAGUGGUGGAGCAUGUGGUUUAAUUCGAUGCAACGCGAAGAACCUUACCAACCCUUGAAAUCUAGCGAAGUUCACAGAGAUGAGAAUGUGCCUUCGGGAACGCUAUGACAGGUGUUGCAUGGCUGUCGUCAGCUCGUGUCGUGAGAUGUAUGGUUAAGUCCAGUAACGAGCGCAACCCCUAUCCUUAUUUGCCAGCGCGUUAAGGCGGGAACUAUAGGGAGACUGCCGGGUGAAACCCGGAGGAAGGCGGGGACGAGGUCAAGUCAUCAUGGCCCUUAUGGGUUGGGCUACACACGUGCUACAAUGGGAAGUACAGAGGGAUGCUAAAGCGCGAGCUGGAGCCAAACCCUUAAAACUUUUCUUAGUCCGGAUUGGAGUCUGCAACUCGACUCCAUGAAGUCGGAAUCACUAGUAAUCGCGAAUCAGAAUGUCGCGGUGAAUACGUUCUCGGGCCUUGUACACACCGCCCGUCACAUCAUGGAAGUGGGUUGCACCAGAAGUGGUUAGUCUAACCUUCGGGAAGACGAUCACCACGGUGUGAUUCAUGACUGGGAUGAAGUCGUAACAAGGUAGCCCUAGGGGAACCUGGGGCUG
Molecule: ribosomal RNA, 878 nt
Filed under: marine metagenome
Description: bacterial SSU rRNA
Rfam family: Bacterial small subunit ribosomal RNA
Source: RNAcentral